UACGUAGGGCGCGAGCGUUGUCCGGAAUUAUUGGGCGUAAAGAGCUCGUAGGCGGCCUGUCACGUCCGCUGUGAAAUCCCGGGGCUCAACCCCGGGCCUGCAGUGGAUACGGGCUGGCUAGAGGCAGGCAGGGGAGAACGGAAUUCCUGGUGUAGCGGUGAAAUGCGCAGAUAUCAGGAGGAACACCGGUGGCGAAGGCGGUUCUCUGGGCCUGUUCUGACGCUGAGGAGCGAAAGCGUGGGGAGCGAACAGG
RNAcentral lists this ribosomal RNA (253 nucleotides) under uncultured bacterium. RNAcentral's name for it is "partial 16S ribosomal RNA". It matches the Rfam family "Bacterial small subunit ribosomal RNA", at positions 524 to 776 of the family's 1533-position model. The record is from RNAcentral.